GGGAAGGCGUAGGGAAACCGAGUCUUAAUAGGGCGAUUUAGUUGCUGGGCUUAGACCCGAAACCAGGCGAUCUAUCCAUGGCCAGUGUGAAGGUUGAGUAACAUCAACUGGAGGCGCGAACCCACCUAUGUUGAAAAAUGGGGGGAUGAGCUGUGGAUCGGAGUGAAAGGCUAAUCAAGCCCGGAGAUAGCUGGUUCUCCUCGAAAGCUAUUUAGGUAGCGCCUCGUGUAUUACUAUUGGGGGUAGAGCACUGUUAUGGCUAGGGGGAC
This 269-nucleotide ribosomal RNA is filed under the name Oxyrrhis marina. RNAcentral describes it as "partial Bacterial large subunit ribosomal RNA". It matches the Rfam family "Bacterial large subunit ribosomal RNA", at positions 660 to 928 of the family's 2925-position model. The record is from RNAcentral. Lineage: Eukaryota; Dinophyceae; Oxyrrhinales; Oxyrrhinaceae.